Molecule: long non-coding RNA, 3890 nt
Organism: Rattus norvegicus (Norway rat)
Lineage: Eukaryota; Metazoa; Chordata; Mammalia; Rodentia; Muridae
Source: RefSeq, a predicted model, not a curated record
GACGGGUGGGACUUCUGGGUUCCUGGAAGAGGCAAGGAGGUCAAAGGAAGGAGAAUGGAGUUGCCGUGCUUGGAGAGAAGAGAACCGGGCUGCCAUGUGAGAUCUCAAAAUGAUGUAACUCUGAGGGACCCACUCCUCGUCACCUACUUUUGCCAGUGAAGUUCCUCCUAAAGAUGCCACAGCCUUCACAAGAGCCCAACAAGCUAAAGACUAAAGCAAGAGCUGAUGGGAGACGUUCCAGAUUUUUGCCACAUGCCUAAGCAACUUUCUGGGAAGGGAUGGGCAUGUUGAACAGGAACAAACAGGGGACAGUGAACUGGUCCCAGGGCAGUAAGUUCAGGACACCAGCGCUGAACUUACAGCAGGAGGAAACCACUAACUAAUGCCAAAGAACAUAUUCAGAUAAACUCCUGGCAUUUGUUUAAAAUCUUGGAAACCAAGCUAAAUUGCCUUCCCAAUGGUGUCAGUAAGCGGGACCAUAGGCGGGAUGGGGUAUGCCAAUGCCUUCCUUGUGGCUUGUCUUUGGCUGCUCUAAGAGGAGCAGCCGUGUACACAAGCUGGAAAUCAGCAGCUGUGGAAUGCCAGGGCCACCAACUCCUCAUCUAGUGCUCAGUACCUGCCCAAGGUUUAUCACACACGGUGCUUUGUGUGAGUUGCACGGUGAGCCCUCAGUUAAGAUGAGAACAAAUAUGCCAAGUGUGAUGAUUCAUGCUUGUAAUCUCAGAAUACAAGAGGCCAAGACAGGAGGAUUGCCAAGAGCUGAUUCUAGCCAGGGCUACACAGUAAAAUCCUGUCAAAAAAAACACCAAACAAAACCAAAAAACAGAAACCAAGAAGAUGAAAACAAGAUGGGAGGAAUUUGGUUUUGCUUUGUCAAGGGACAAAAUCGCAAUCUUAACUGGCUUUAUUUUCAAUUUCAGAAUCUGGCAAUAUUUUUCAUUGCAUGAGAGUAAGUAUUCCAAUAAGCCAGGCUGAGGGGGUUGGUUUCGUAGACACAAAACUGCUGAAGAAAACAAAAACAACCCCCAAAGUAUAGGUCAUUUCCAAGUUGUGUUUUCUGUACAGCGGGGACAGACAGAGAGAUAGAAAAGCAAUUGGUUGACAAGAGGCUCUUCCGACCGGUGGACGGAUUAAAGCAGGAGCUGCUUAAUUUCACAGUACUUAUAACUGGCUCGUACACAAUGUUUGAGCGUGGUGUGUCCAAUCUUGAUUUCUCAGGUCAGAUAAAAAGCUUAGUUUCAAUUUCAUCACUGAAUGAUUCCCUUUUGAUAUUUAGCCUGCUCUGUUUAGCCUGCAGUUUAAAGCAACGGCUUCUUAUGAUGUUCAUUAAACGGCUUUGCAAUAAUCUACAGUUAUAAUAAAUCCCAGGGCUUGAGUACUGUAGUAAUGAGAUGAAUUCCACAGGGCAAGCCUGUUGAUAUUCUGUCUAAGCUCCACCCCCACAGUUGCCUGGCAACAGCCAGGUAUGCCUGACUAUAAAAGGGGCUGCUUGCCCCCUUCUCAUUCUCUUGCUCUUUCUUGAUCUUCCUCUCUCUUCUCUGCUUCAUGCCCUCUUUGUCCCUGUCCCUUCUCUCCCCAUUCCCGCCCCCCUCCACAUGUUCAUGCCCAGCCUUUCCUCUCUUCUUCUACUCCUCUCCUCUCAUUAAACCUUUCCACAUGGAACCCUGUUUGUUGGCUUGGUGUGUUCUGUCCAGGAAGUGCAUUAACAAACAAACGAACAAAGUUCAGCAGGUGUACUGUACUGUCAGUAAGUAAUCUUAACACUAAGGCUAACGCUGGAGGUCUAUGGAUUCAAAGCCAACCUGGGCUACAUAGCAUGAUUUAUUUCAAAUACAUGCACGUGUACAAGUGCAUGUGUCACAUGGGGCGGCAGUUCUAAACAAUGUCUUUCGAAACUAUUCUUUCAGAGUGGAUUAAAGUUGGAAGACACUGCUUUCAGUUCUAUGGCCCUUCCUUAUGUAGGACAGGCCUUUAGGGGUGGGACUGAGAAACAAGUGACUGAAACAGAUCAUCAUCCUGAAAGUCACCAGCAGUUCUAGGGGACCCAGAAGUGAGGCUAACCCCUCUCUGGCUGUGGUCUAGAAAGCUUCCUGAGGAGGGGAGACACUUCUGACCUAGGCUGCAACUUUCACAGAUGGAAAUGCUCUCUGAAAAGAGGGACCAGCUUGACAAAGGUCAAAGAUAGGACAAAGGGGGUUUAGAAAUACAGAGAAAGGAAGCAGGAGGUGCUGCUGACUUGGAAAUAUCAACUCAUUCUUGGUAAGGGACCUCCCACGGGAAUGCAUGGGUUCUGGUCCUAACUUCUAUUUAGGUACCCAGUCUUUCUGUGUCCUCUCCUUGGGCCUCUGGGCCUGUUUCCUCAUCAGUAAAUAAAGGAUUUCUCUGAAGAUACUGCCACGACUCGAACAUCCCCAAAUCAUGUUAAUGAAAGGAGGCCUAUGCCAGGAUGUUGCAUGUACCCGUAUGAUCCCCAAACCACCUUGAUACUCUGUAGCAUACCCAUAACAAGAAGGCCCUUAGAAGAUCUGAUCGCUUGGCUAGGAUAUCCCAGCCUCCCAGACUGUUGCAAAUAAACCUGUAAAUUAUGCAGUAAUUUUUAUAACCGAUCUAAGAAUGAGAAGCAAGGGGCUGGAGAGAUGGCUCAGUGGUUAAGAGCACUGACUGCUCUUCCAGAGGUCCUGAGUUCAAAUCCCAGCAACCACAUGGUGGCUCACAACCAUCUGUAAUGAGAUCUGAUGCCCUCUUCUGGUGUGUCUGAACAACUACAGUGUACUUAUAUAUAAUAAAUAAAUAAAUCUUUAAAAAAAAAAAAGAAUGAGAAGCAAGGCCUCGGUUUUCCUGUGCUGUUUGCUAAGACUGUAUCUUUUCUGAUUGGCUUAGGGCUGGGGAUUGAGCUCAGGGCUUAGUACAUGCCCAACCAGACCUCUACCACUGAGCUAUGGCCUCAGCCAGAGCCGAUCUUAAGAAUGGUUUUAAAAUGAUUGAAAGUGGGCUGGAGAGAUGGCUCAGCGGUUAAGAGCACCCGACUGCUCUUCCAGAGGUCAUGAGUUCAAUUCCCAGCAACCACAUGGUGGCUCACAACCAUCUGUAAAGAGAUUCAAUUCCCUCUUCUGGUGUAUCUGAAGACAGCUACAGUGUACUUAUAUAUAAUAAAUAAAUAAAUCUUUAAAAAAAAUAUCUGAAAGCCACUGGUCUCAGUAAAGGAUUUCUCUCCGAGUGUGACUUCAUGCUGCAAGCAUGAGAAGCUCUGGUUUCCUCUUCAAAGCAUGGCUCAUUUAGGAUCUCCCAGGUUGCUGUCAAUUGUCUGCGCUGUAUCCAGCAUCCAGUGGGAAAGUCAUUUUCAUCUCUCGCCUUAGGAGACGGUGCCUAGCGUUGUCUGAAAGAGUCCUGGGAACCCGAACUUUCCAACUUUGCACGGGAGCAGCAGAGACUGCUCAUAAAUGCAUGUGAAUAAACAUUUGAUCGAUAAAUGCUCACUGGCAGCAUCAUGGCACCUGACUCCUCUUUGCCCAUGGCUGCCCGGCCUGUUCCAGGGUGUUUUUGUGAAGAUCAAGUAAGAACUCGAUCCUUUUACAAACUGUAAAUAUGGAGCAAGCUCGGUGGUUAAGUGGUGCUCGGGGAGCAGAAUGAGAGAACAGCAGUGCUGGGUGAACGUGGGGGUGUUGCAGGCGUAUAUCGUUCACAACGUACUUUAGUAAGGGUCAGCCUCUAGCCUGCCAUCUACCAGCAGCAGUGGAAGAGAAAGGUUAUCAGGAUACGGGGGAAGUUUAGAAAUAGUCCUUUGGGACGAUUCCAAUUUUCAUCGUGCUUAGCCCAGGCCACUAGCAAACACCAACAUGAAUCAGCCCCUCCAGUCCAGUCCGUGUGGCAGACACCACACAGGGAUCAGC